AGGAGCCGAGAGUUCUCAAAUUCAGAUUUCAGUUGUUGUAGCAGUCAGCGUUCUCAUAGUUGUCUGCCUGCUCAAAAUCAUCAUGUGGUUUGUAAAGGUCAAAAGUCCAACCCCACCACAAGUCAAUACUCCACUUAGUGAAUAACUGGGCCUUGAAUUGUGAGCCAGUACCACUGAGGGAGCUGUUUAACAUGAGGAUCUAAACUUCUUGGUAAAACAGCUUCCUCCAUGCGUAGCGGCAGACGGCGACAGGAG
Long non-coding RNA from Xiphophorus hellerii (green swordtail), 255 nucleotides. RefSeq lists it as uncharacterized. The record is from RefSeq and is a predicted model, not a curated record. The transcript has 3 exons. Lineage: Eukaryota; Metazoa; Chordata; Actinopteri; Cyprinodontiformes; Poeciliidae.